This 364-nucleotide ribosomal RNA is filed under the name Escherichia coli. RNAcentral describes it as "partial 23S ribosomal RNA". It matches the Rfam family "Bacterial large subunit ribosomal RNA", at positions 1 to 392 of the family's 2925-position model. Lineage: Bacteria; Pseudomonadati; Pseudomonadota; Gammaproteobacteria; Enterobacterales; Enterobacteriaceae. The record is from RNAcentral.
GGGUUGUGAGGUUAAGCGACUAAGCGUACACGGUGGAUGCCCUGGCAGUCAGAGGCGAUGAAGGACGUGCUAAUCUGCGAUAAGCGUCGGUAAGGUGAUAUGAACCGUUAUAACCGGCGAUUUCCGAAUGGGGAAACCCAGUGUGAUUCGUCACACUAUCAUUAACUGAAUCCAUAGGUUAAUGAGGCGAACCGGGGGAACUGAAACAUCUAAGUACCCCGAGGAAAAGAAAUCAACCGAGAUUCCCCCAGUAGCGGCGAGCGAACGGGGAGCAGCCCAGAGCCUGAAUCAGUGUGUGUGUUAGUGGAAGCGUCUGGAAAGGCGYGCGAUACAGGGUGACAGCCCCGUACACAAAAAUGCACAU